RNAcentral lists this ribosomal RNA (344 nucleotides) under Bacillus cereus ATCC 10876. Its description in RNAcentral is "bacterial SSU rRNA". It matches the Rfam family "Bacterial small subunit ribosomal RNA", at positions 1 to 332 of the family's 1533-position model. The record is from RNAcentral. Lineage: Bacteria; Bacillati; Bacillota; Bacilli; Caryophanales; Bacillaceae.
UUUAUUGGAGAGUUUGAUCCUGGCUCAGGAUGAACGCUGGCGGCGUGCCUAAUACAUGCAAGUCGAGCGAAUGGAUUAAGAGCUUGCUCUUAUGAAGUUAGCGGCGGACGGGUGAGUAACACGUGGGUAACCUGCCCGUAAGACUGGGAUAACUCCGGGAAACCGGGGCUAAUACCGGAUAACAUUUUGAACUGCAUGGUUCGAAAUUGAAAGGCGGCUUCGGCUGUCACUUAUGGAUGGACCCGCGUCGCAUUAGCUAGUUGGUGAGGUAACGGCUCACCAAGGCAACGAUGCGUAGCCGACCUGAGAGGGUGAUCGGCCACACUGGGACUGAGACACGGCCC